UACGUAGGGUGCGAGCGUUAAUCGGAAUUACUGGGCGUAAAGCGUGCGCAGGCGGUUGAUUAAGUCUGAUGUGAAAGCCCCGGGCUCAACCUGGGAAUGGCAUUGGAAACUGGUCAGCUGGAGUGUGGCAGAGGGGGGUGGAAUUCCGCGUGUAGCAGUGAAAUGCGUAGAGAUGCGGAGGAACACCAGUGGCGAAGGCGACUCUUUGGCCUGUAACUGACGCUGAGGCGCGAAAGCGUGGGGAGCAAACAGG
Molecule: ribosomal RNA, 253 nt
Filed under: uncultured bacterium
Lineage: Bacteria
Description: partial 16S ribosomal RNA
Rfam family: Bacterial small subunit ribosomal RNA
Source: RNAcentral